GUGCCAGCCGCCGCGGUAAUACCGGCAGCCCGAGUGAUGGCCGAUCUUAUUGGGCCUAAAGCGUCCGUAGCUGGGUGUGAAAGUCCAUCGGGAAAUCCACUCGCUCAACGAGUGGCCGUCCGGCGGAAACUGCACACCUUGGGACCGGAAGGCUCGAAGGGUACGGCCGGGGUAGGAGUGAAAUCCUGUAAUCCCGCACGGACCACCGAUGGCGAAAGCACUUCGAGAAAACGGAUCCGACAGUGAGGGACGAAAGCUAGGGUCUCGAACCGGAUUAGAUACCCUGGUAGUCC
RNAcentral lists this ribosomal RNA (293 nucleotides) under uncultured bacterium. RNAcentral's name for it is "partial 16S ribosomal RNA". It matches the Rfam family "Archaeal small subunit ribosomal RNA", at positions 455 to 747 of the family's 1478-position model. The record is from RNAcentral.